GCGGGUAUAGUUCAGUGGUAGAAUAUCUCCUUGCCAAGGAGGAUGUCGCGCGUUCGAAUCGCGUUACCCGCU
RNAcentral lists this transfer RNA (72 nucleotides) under Oedogonium sp. 33_chl. RNAcentral's name for it is "tRNA-Gly". It matches the Rfam family "tRNA". Rfam says of the family: Transfer RNA (tRNA) molecules are approximately 80 nucleotides in length. Their secondary structure includes four short double-helical elements and three loops (D, anti-codon, and T loops). Further hydrogen bonds mediate the characteristic L-shaped molecular structure. tRNAs have two regions of fundamental functional importance: the anti-codon, which is responsible for specific mRNA codon recognition, and the 3' end, to which the tRNAs corresponding amino acid is attached (by aminoacyl-tRNA synthetases). tRNAs cope with the degeneracy of the genetic code in two manners: having more than one tRNA (with a specific anti-codon) for a particular amino acid; and 'wobble' base-pairing, i.e. permitting non-standard base-pairing at the 3rd anti-codon position. RNAcentral also lists the same sequence under 3 other names. Lineage: Eukaryota; Viridiplantae; Chlorophyta; Chlorophyceae; Oedogoniales; Oedogoniaceae. The record is from RNAcentral.